This 483-nucleotide ribosomal RNA is filed under the name uncultured bacterium. RNAcentral describes it as "partial 16S ribosomal RNA". It matches the Rfam family "Bacterial small subunit ribosomal RNA", at positions 28 to 523 of the family's 1533-position model. The record is from RNAcentral.
GACGAACGCUGGCGGCGUGCUUAACACAUGCAAGUCGAACGGUGAAGGUGGAGCUUGCUCCGCCGGAUCAGUGGCGAACGGGUGAGUAACACGUGGGCAACCUGCCCCUGACUUCGGGAUAACUCCUCGAAAGAGGUGCUUAUACCGGACACGAAUCCUGCAGGCAUCUGCGGGCUUGGAAAGUUUUUCGGUCAGGGAUGGGCCCGCGGCCUAUCAGCUUGUUGGUGAGGGAGUGGCUCACCAAGGCGACGACGGGUAGCCGGCCUGAGAGGGCGACCGGCCACACUGGGACUGAGACACGGCCCAGACUCCUACGGGAGGCAGCAGUGGGGAAUAUUGCGCAAUGGGCGAAAGCCUGACGCAGCAACGCCGCGUGAGGGAUGACGGCCUUCGGGUUGUAAACCUCUUUCAGCAGGGAAGAAGCGAAAGUGACGGUACCUGCAGAAGAAGCACCGGCUAACUACGUGCCAGCCGCCGCCGUAA